AUUCCUACGGGAGGCAGCAGUAGGGAAUCUUCCGCAAUGGACGCAAGUCUGACGGAGCAACGCCGCGUGAGCGAAGAAGGUCUUCGGAUCGUAAAGCUCUGUUGUAAGGGAAGAACAAGUACCAGAGUAACUGCUGGUACCUUGACGGUACCUUACCAGAAAGCCACGGCUAACUACGUGCCAGCAGCCGCGGUAAUAAU
This 200-nucleotide ribosomal RNA is filed under the name uncultured bacterium. Its description in RNAcentral is "partial 16S ribosomal RNA". It matches the Rfam family "Bacterial small subunit ribosomal RNA", at positions 335 to 526 of the family's 1533-position model. The record is from RNAcentral.